GCCCCGGAGGCCGAGCUUCCCACCUCAUGACUAUUCAGCGAGGCGUGGCCACGUCCCUCUGCGCGCUCCGCGGCGGCCGGGGAGAAGUGCGCGGAACCGGUCGGAACCAUCUGUGGUCUAGGCAGGGGAUGAGGAAUGUACCAUCUGAGGCCCAGGCCGCGCAGGGCGUCAGGCGCAGACUAUCCGCGCGCGGUUAGACGCUCUUUGGGUGCAGACUCCCGCCCUUCCCGCCGCCUUGUUGCCGGAGUUCUGCCGCCCAGGUGGGUGCGGGCUAGGGCAGUGCCGGGGAUGCAAAUGUGCACAACAGUCUUUGGCGGCGGGUGUGCCCCAAGCCCGGGUCUCUGCCCAUGGACCUAAUCCCGUGCGCCCUCUCUCCCCUUGGUAUGAGGACUCCACCCCAAGGCGCGCCCCAAGCGUGAAGUUCACUUGUGACUGUGGGCUGCCUUUUAGUCCGCCUGGUCCCCCUGGAGUGCACCCUCCUGCCCAGGUGACCCCAGCUCCAGGAAAUGUCAGCCUAAGGAGGGUUGGACAUUGUCUCCAUUUCAUGCUGCACUUAAGAAAAUCGUCCUAAUCAGAUCAUCUGUCGCAGUAUACCCACGAGUCCCACCCGUGGUUUCACUCAAAGAUGUAGGAACAGCGCUCAAGGAAACGCGUGGUUGGUCUGACAGGUCACACGCAGUUGCUGACAUUCACUUAUGCAGUGGCUUACCCCGUGAGGUCAGGGCUCUGAGUCCACACACAGCUUGAAGGAGGGCAGCUUUGCUGACCCCAAGCUCCCCCAGGAGGAAACCAGACCUAGGGCCAGAACUCAGGGCUGGAGGGUAGUUGGGGUGGAAAGGCUUCCAGCAGGCACUAGGGGGAGGCCAGUGUAUUUUUGCCUUGGCAGAAUUACAAGGGGACACAGAAAGUUCGGUAAUGAAGACCACUACAAAAUUUGCAGGGCCUAGUGCAGAAUGGAAGUGUAAGGUCUUAAAAAAUUAUCAAGAAUUUCCUGGGCAACACCAGCAGAAAGUGAAGCAAGACUGGGUCUUCUAAGCAGGCCCUGAAAUUGAUACUGGUUCACACCCAUGAAGGGCCCCCCCCCCCCCCCCCCCCCCCCCCCCCCCCCCCCCCCCCCCCCCCCCCCCCCCCCCCCCCCCCCCCGGCCUUCCUACCCUCACCUAGACUGGGCCUCUGUCUGAAGCUUUCAUUUGGUCCCAUCCAGUCUGAGAGGCAACAGGAGUCACCUGGCACCCCCUAGUACAAGCUGCUGUCCCAAAGUCCAGAAGCAGCUGAGAGGCCUGCCCACCUUCCAACCGGUCUCAGCAGCUGAGCCUUCUUUGUCUGUCCCACUGUUCCUUUCCUGCUGGGAUCUGCCACCAAUUCAUCUCCAUCUCUUAUCACCUCCAAAGAGGGCCCACACAUCAGGGGCCUUGAGACUCAUACAUUAGGAGACCUUCCUUAAGGAAAAGAAUCUGAAUUUAUGUAUGUUUCCCAAAGAUUUGUUACUAUUUUCAGAAAGAUAUUGUUUAGGUAUAUAAAAUUAAAAAUCACAUAUACAGUUAUUCUUUAUAGAAACACAACACUGGGACACUUGUACUGCCAGGGACACUGGGUAAAACUUGUAAUGUUAAAAGAACACUGGAAUUUAAAUAUGCAAUCUGCUUUUCUCUUUUUCACUUGGACAUGAACUUAUUUAGAAAACCAACACCCUUACUCAUUGCUUUCCUUAAAAUUCAUCUAUCAUUCUCAUUAAUAGGGCAUUUUAAUCCUUGGAGUGUUGAUGGCUGCAGCAUAUAUAAACCCCAUUGGGGAAACAGGGAAGGGGAGGGCCAGAUGGUCACAGGCACUGAGCAUGGACUGUGCUCCUUGGAGCAGCAAGGAAAAGGUAUGGUAGCUGCAGGGCAGGCUGGUGGAGCAGCACUUGGUGGAAAGCCACAGGAAUGGCAGAACUCUGCCAAAACAGAGAAGCUGAGAAGCCAGAAGGAGAGAGCUCCUGGGCACACACCAGCAGGGGACCUAACAGAAAGGUAGGAUGUAGGCCCUGCCCAGCACAUCUUCCUGCCCAGGGCACAAAGCCAGAUGGAUGCAGCCCACUCUGCUGGGAUCUGAGAAUACAGCCAAAGGAGGUGGGAGAAGGCAGGGCUUUGGGUGUCCUCAAAGGAUGUCUAGGAUUCUGGAAAGUCUUCAUCAACAAACUAUCUCAGAACAGGGCAGGUAUCUUGCUUAUUAAGGUGCCCAGUUUGGCUGAUUUAUAAAUUCUCCAAUUUGCAAGAGUGGGCAGGAGGUGAAGUGACCAGCAUUUAGUGGUUAGAGCAUGCCACUCCUUCAAGGGUAAAAGCAAAGUUCUUGCAGUGACCCCUGAGGACGUGCAAGAUCUUCCCUCUGCCCCUGUACCUCUGACCUGCACUCCACCCACCCUGCCCUUCAUCUGCUCUAGUCAGGGCCUCUGGCUUCUCCUCUGUCACUCCAGGGGUGAGUCAGUCUCAGGGCCUUUGUAUGAAGUGUUCCUCUGCAUGAAGUGCUCCUCCCCAAUGUAUCUGCAUGGCCAUCUCCCUCUUGCAGUCUUUGCUCCAAUCACUCUCCCAGGAGAGGCUUAAAAUAGCAGACUCCUACCCAGCCCACUCCCCACCUUCCUCACACUGCCUUCCUGUGUUGUGUAGGCACUUCUAACACACUUUGUAACCAUUGAACAAUAGCAUGUGCUAUGUUAAGUAGCUCUGGUGAUAUUGAGCCCUAAUCCCCAAUGUGCAGCUGCCGCGUCCGGCUAACAGAGCCGAGUCCGGCGAGGGACGGCGGGGUUAAAAAUACACAGGACACCAAGGUUCUUCAUCCAGGAGGGAGCAUGUGCGCGCUUUAUUGCCAAAUUUGUUCCCCUUAUAUAUCUUUUUAACAGCUGCGGGAAAUUACUCAAAAGUGAGGAGGGAAGAGUAAUAACUGCGUCCUUGGGUUACCUUCACGUCGUCCCCUAUCAGGAGGCUCGAACAGGUCAAGAUGUUCCCGAGAGACACAUGUGCUCCAGGCAGAUAAACAGGGAACCACAUUGACAUGCAUAACAAAGAACUGGGGGUUGAGUCCCCAGGGGCCAGGGCGGGCCUGCUACCAGCAUGCAGCCUCCAAGGUGAUUAGGCUUAGAUGAGAUCAUGGGUGUGCCCCAUGAUGGGAUUAGUGCCCUUGCAAGGAGAGGAAGGAACCAGAGCACCCUGUUGCCACCAUGUGAGGACACAGCAUGGAGGCAGCCAUCCCCAGAUCAGAAGAGCCCUCGCCAGGGACCCAGCCAUGCUGGCCAGCUUAUGUCAGACUCUCAACCUCCAAAACUAUGAGGGAAAAAAUGAGUUGAUACGCCACUGGUCUGCGGUGUUCUAACAGCCUGAACAGACUAGGACACUUUCAAUGGCCAAUUUUACAUGCCACCUUGGCUGGACAAAGGAAUCCCCAGAAAUCUGGCAAGGCAUUACUUUGGGUGUGGAUGCUGGGGUGUUUCCAGAGUUUAGCAUGUGGACCAGGUGGGGAAGAUCCACCCUCUGUAUGGGUGAGCACCACCCAAUCAGCCGAGGGCCCUCAAGGAGAACAAACACAGAAGGCGAAAUGGAGUCCCCUCACCCCACAGAGCUGGGACAUGCCCACCUCCUGCUUGGGCACCAGAAUUCCAGGUUUGCCCUUCUCCAGGUUCCCAGGUCUUCGUCCUUUAACUGGAAAUUACACCAUCAGCUUCCCUGGUUUGGAGGCCUUAGGACGAGGAUGGAGGGGCCAUCCCAGAGUCGCCAGCCUGUACUCAGCCUGCUGUGAGGCUCUCACUGCUGCCAUACUCAUGCAAGCCAGUACAUUCACUCUGUGCAUCCUGUCUCCAGCCGGGUAGCCUGUUGGUUCUGUCUCUGGGGAGAACCCUGGCUAACGCCCUGUAUCACUUAUUUCUUACAUCUGUUGCCUAACACACACACAUCCAACUCUAGAAUCCAUGAUCCAUCAGAGCAGGAAUUUUGCUCUAUUUCUUUUACAGAUAGAUGUGCAUCGCGCACCUGAGAUGGUGAAUGGUGGGUGAAUGUUUCUAGAGCAUGCUGCUUCACUAUCUACUGCUGGCCUAGAAAUCAUUUCAAACGUAGUGGCUUAAAACAGCGCCCAUCAUGUUCUCCAUUUCUGUGAGUCGGGAGUCUGGGCAUGGCACAGUGUGUCCUCUGCUUCCUUGCCUCUCUCUGCAGUGGGAGUAUCAGCCAGGGCAGGGUCUCAUCUGAAGGUCCCUUGGGGAAGGGUCUGGAUGUUGGCAGGCUGAAGCUCUUCUGUGGGGAUGGAUGGACUGAAGGCCUCAGCUCCUUGCUGAGUGUUGGCUAGAGUUCCCCUGAUUUCUGGCCAUGUGGAUCUUGCCAUAGGCAGCUCACCCAUGGCAGCUGGGGUGUCAAAACUUCUGCUUGGAAGACAGAACUUACAAUCUUAUGUAAUCAUGAAAAUGGUGACAUCCCAUCCCCUUGGCAGAACAGAAGCAAGUUGAAGUCCUGCCCACACUCAAGGGGAGAGGGGAUCUUUGGAGACGACCUCAGGCCUGCCCACAGGAGGCAGGAAUAGUGUUAUCCUUGGAGUCCUGGAUGUUCAGUGGCUUUGCCACUUGCCUUGUGGUUUAAACGGGGUGAACCACUUCUGGGAACCAGUUCCCUCUAUCUUCCAGCAGGACAACAGUGGAUCUCUCGUGGAGUGCAGAAGAGGAAACCAGCACCUCCUGCAUCGUAAGGCCUCUGAGCCAAGAAGAAUGAAUUGCAGUGAGGCUCUGAGGACCCUCAGUUCUCCAUUCCCAAGCCUCACAUUUUCUCAAGAAAGCAAUUCCAACAAUGAAGUCCUAAAGAGAUCAGGGUAGGGCUGCUGUCCCCACCACCCGCUUCCCCCACAAAGAUCCCAGCAUAAUGCAGCAGAGAAAUGCCAGCCACAGCCCAAUUUGAGGCUUUCCAAUGUUAAAAAAAAUAAUAAUUUUGACCAAAAAAAGGAGAAGAACCAUAUUGUCAUAUAGCUAUGCCCUGGCAUGUGGCAAAUAUGCUUUUGAAUUUGUUAAUUGAAUAGGGAACUGGUAAGAUGUUAGAACCAGUUCAAGGGAGAAUGUGAAGAACAUACACAUUUAAUGUUUAGGUAUAUUUAAAUGAGCUUUAAAUUGUGCAAAAUUGUGCUUUUGAGUGGAACAGUUUGGGGGACUCAAGGUUGUCCCUCCACUACACAGAAUGCAUUAGCUUGUACACAGACAAAAAUCAUUUCCAGUGGUGUGCAGUGGUGCACACUUGUAAUCCCAGCAGUUCAGGAGGCUGAGGAGGGAGGAUUGUGAGUUCAAAGCCAGCCCAAGCAACAUAGCAAGGCCCUAAGCAAAUCAGCAAGACCCUGUCUCUGAAAUAUAAAAAGGGAUGGGGAUAUGGCUCAGAGUUUAACCCCUGGGUUCAAUCUCUAGUACCAAAGGAAAAAAAAAAGUCAUUUCUAUUAUCAUUUCUCAUCUAAAACUCAAACUUGAAAAUCGUCCAAAGGCAAUAAAAAACUAGCCUGGGGUAACCCAGAAGGGAGAGCUAGACAGAAUGUGUAGUUUCCCAGUGGGGUUAGUUAUUUUUUUACUUUUGCUGAUUCCAAGUCUCUUUACACCAGGAGUGUCCAUUUCAUAGGGCUGCUGUCACCAAGUACUGCAAACUGAGUGGCUUAAAUAACAGACAUGUUUUCUCUUACAGUGCAAGAGGCCAGAAGUCCAGUCUCAAGAUGUGCCACAUUCCCUAGAGACUGUGAGGCAGAAUUUGGCAUUACCUAGCUUCUGGUAGCUUGUUGACCAUCUCUGAUGUCCCUUUGUUUGUAGAAGUAUCACCACAAUCUUACCCUGUGCAGUCACACAGUCCUCUCCCUGCACCUGUGUCUGUGUGUCCCAUAAAUAUGUAUCAAUUUUUGUCAUGUUGGAUUAGAGCCCAACCUAAAACCUCAUUUUAACUUGGUAAAUUUAAAAAUCUACAAGUGAGGACACAUUCUCAGGUACCACGGAUUAGGACAUCAACCUAUGAAUUUGGGGGGGACAUAAUUUGUGAAAUUGUGAUUCAUAGUAAAAAAUAUACACUUUGAUCUUUGUCUUUGGUGACUGGCACCGAACUCCUUAAAAUCCUUGCUAUUUCCUGAGCAAUAGGGGUGCUGGUAACAUCUUUUGUCUUAAUAUUUGUCCUUUGACCCUUGUUCAGUCCAGAGUGCCUAAUCCCUGGGAGUUUCCAGAGUGACAGGAUCAUCUUUUGUCCCAGUGAGGUGGUUCCUGGUGGGCUCCUGGAUGGGGGCUGGCCACAACCCAAGUUGUACCCUUCAUAAAAGUGGGUAAACAUGAGGACAGUGUUUCUGUGAGUCUUUCAGAGUUCUGUGAGUCUUGCUAACAAACGGUCAAACCUGGUCUGGGGCAG
This 6371-nucleotide long non-coding RNA is filed under the name Marmota monax (woodchuck). Lineage: Eukaryota; Metazoa; Chordata; Mammalia; Rodentia; Sciuridae. The record is from RNAcentral.